GUGCUCGCUUCAGUAGCACAUAUACUGAAAUUGGAACAAUACAGAGAAGAUUAGCACAGCCGCUGUGCAAGGAUGACAUACAAAUUCGUGAAGUGUUCCACAUUAAA
RNAcentral lists this small nuclear RNA (107 nucleotides) under Cavia aperea (Brazilian guinea pig). The record is from RNAcentral. Lineage: Eukaryota; Metazoa; Chordata; Mammalia; Rodentia; Caviidae.